GCUGCUGAUAUUAUGGCCAACAGUGAUCGGGAGGAGGGAUGGUGGCCCUUCUCCAUCGAUGCGAUCAAGGAAGCUACUUCACAGGAUAUGUCAUUUCAUAGCUUUGUCCGUAUUCGAUGAUUUUGGUCUUUUUUCGGCGAGUCUCCUGCUCGCCUUCUUGUUCGGGUUUUUCUUUCUUUUCUUGGCUGUGGUUGAGAUGCCCGCUGGCAUCCUGGAUUAGCCAUGAGCUGGUGGAUCACUUCUUGUUCUGUGGUGGUGUCGGCGCUUUCGGGUUAUGGGCUGUGUUCUCUUGGCGGCAUUUUUGCAAACACUUGGUGCGCGUUCAGGUUAUGGGCUGUUUUACUUUUGCUUCUUUGGAUGCUUUUUCCAUAUGAUUUUUUAGCAUGUGGCUCGGCUGUUCCUGUCUUGGGUAUGCGCUGAUGUCGGCGGUUUGUGUCUUGG
This 441-nucleotide long non-coding RNA is filed under the name Salvia miltiorrhiza (redroot sage). Its description in RNAcentral is "long non-coding RNA (SMIL_LNC002885)". Lineage: Eukaryota; Viridiplantae; Streptophyta; Magnoliopsida; Lamiales; Lamiaceae. The record is from RNAcentral.